AGUGAACCUGCAGCGGUGGCCAUGGAGAGGAACUCGUCGUCGUGGGAAAGUGCUGGUGCGCAAUCGCUUGCCUUUUUAGGGAACGCAACGGUCAGCGGUGAAAGAACGGAACUUCACCUUCACAUGCCAGAGAUUAGCAUACUAUGCACGGUCUACGAUCAAUGUCUGGGGCUUGUUGUUGCCGUAGCAGCCGGCGCUAUCCUUUGGAAAAUCAUGAUGUCCAAGAGUAGCCUCACAAAAAAGCCACAUAAACCAAAAUCACGGAGGCUGCUGUCUGGGGCUCUUCCGCCAGUUUUUCCAAAUGGUUGGAUUCCAGUGCUUGAGUCGACGGAACUUGUUGUAGGAAAAAUCG
RNAcentral lists this long non-coding RNA (352 nucleotides) under Dermacentor andersoni. Its description in RNAcentral is "uncharacterized LOC126523753". The record is from RNAcentral. Lineage: Eukaryota; Metazoa; Arthropoda; Arachnida; Ixodida; Ixodidae.